This is a long non-coding RNA of Sphaerodactylus townsendi, 306 nucleotides long. RefSeq lists it as uncharacterized. The transcript is spliced from 2 exons. The record is from RefSeq and is a predicted model, not a curated record. NCBI's taxonomy places the organism in Eukaryota, Metazoa, Chordata, Lepidosauria, Squamata, Sphaerodactylidae.
GGAGUAUAUAUACCUGUGGAAUGUCCAGGGUGGACAGCCCAAAAACCACACAACACCCCAGUGAUUCCGCCUGUGAAAGCCUUUGACAAUACAAUAUUUAUUGUGACAUUUUUUCAUAUGAUAGCUUAUACUACAAUGACUCUGCUAGUCCCUAACAUACCAUCAGGAUUCUCCUCCUCACCGUGGAGUAUAAAACAGUUGAUCUGUACAGCAUUUGCUUUAUCUUUGUAAGUGGCUUCCUGCUUGCAAGCUUUAAAACAACUUUUCCAAAAUAAACAACACAAAUAUGUUUUAAAGUACCAUUCA